GCAGAUUUAAGUUAAGUUAAACUAUUAGUUUUCAAAACUAAAAAUUGGAUUCUGUG
RNAcentral lists this transfer RNA (56 nucleotides) under Cucullanus robustus. RNAcentral describes it as "tRNA-Trp". Lineage: Eukaryota; Metazoa; Nematoda; Chromadorea; Rhabditida; Cucullanidae. The record is from RNAcentral.